AAGAGACCAGCGCUGGCAAGAUGGAGUGCUUGGGAUGGGGUGUAGGGUUUGAGCACAGCCUGAAGGAAGGGAGGGCAGUUCCCCUUGCUGCUCUGUAGACAAGCACCAUGGUCUUGAAGAUGAUGCAAGCUUCGACUGGAAGCCAGUGGAGUGUGCGGAGGAAUGGGGUGACAUGGGAGAACUCAGGAAGGUUGAACACCAGGUGGGCUGCGGCAUUCUGGAUAAGUUACAGGGGUUUGAUGGCACAAUCUAUCAUUUAGAUGGUGGGUUAGCAUGGGAACAGUUUGGAGACAUAUUAUCUGGUUAGCUGGUUGGUUAGCGUGGGGAAGAUCGAAUCAUACUACACUGGCUCCGACGCUCGUCAGAUGUGGCAGGGCUUGCAAACUAUUACAGACUACAAAGGGAAGCACAGCCGAGAGCUGCCCAGUGACACAAGACUACCAGACAAGCUAAAUCACUUCUAUGCUCGCUUUGAGGCAAGCAACACUGAGGCAUGCAUGAGAACACCAGCUGUUCCGGAUGACUGUGUGUUCACGCUCUCAGUAGCCGACAUGAGUAAGACCUUUAAACAGGUCAACAUACACAAGGCUGCGGGGCCAGACGGAUUACCAGGACGUGUGCUCCGGGCAUGUGCUGACCAACUGGCAGGUGUCUUCACUGACAUUUUCAACAUGUCCCUGAUUGAGUCCGUAAUACCAACAUGCUUCAAGCAGACCACCAUAGUCCCUGUGCCCAAGAACACAAAGGCAACCUGCCUAAAUGACUACAGAUCCGUAGCACUCAUGCCCGUAGCCAUGAAGUGCUUUGAAAGGCUGGUAAUAGCUCAAACAGAUCCACAGAUGAUGCAAUCUCUAUUGCACUCCACACUGCCCUUUUUCACCUGGGCAAAAGGAACACCUACGUGAGAAUGCUAUUCAUUGACUACAGCUCAGCGUUCAACACCAUAGUAUCCUCAAAGCUCAUCACGAAGCUAAGGAACCUGGGACUAAACACCUCCUUCUGCAACUGGAUCCUGGACUUCCUGACGGGCUGCCCCCAGGUGGUGAGGGUAGUUAGCAACACAUCGGCUACGCUGAUCCUCAACACUGGAGCUCCCCAGGGGUGCAUGCUCAGUCCCCUCCUGUACUCCCUGUUCACCCACGACUGCAUGGCCAGGCACGACUCCAACACCAACAUUAAGUUUCCAGACGACAGAGCAGUGGUAGGCCCGAUCACCGACAACGACGAGACAGCCUAUAGGGAGGAGGGGCUGUAGUGGAGCAGGUUGAGAGCUUCAAGUUCCUUGGUGUCCACAUCAACAACAAACUAGAAUGGUCCAGACACACCAAGACAGUCGUGAAGAGG
Long non-coding RNA from Oncorhynchus tshawytscha (Chinook salmon), 1344 nucleotides. The record is from Ensembl. Lineage: Eukaryota; Metazoa; Chordata; Actinopteri; Salmoniformes; Salmonidae.